This 334-nucleotide unclassified non-coding RNA is filed under the name Exophiala salmonis. Its description in RNAcentral is "partial internal transcribed spacer region". The record is from RNAcentral. Lineage: Eukaryota; Fungi; Ascomycota; Eurotiomycetes; Chaetothyriales; Herpotrichiellaceae. RNAcentral also lists the same sequence under 1 other name.
AAGUCGUAACAAGGUCUCCGUAGGUAAGUCAUCGAUCAUCCCGAUUCUACAACCUUGUUGGCAUUUAUAACUAACUCUUCUCUUCUAGGUGAACCUGCGGAGGGAUCAUUAACGAGUCAGGGUCUCACCGGCCCGACCUCCCAACCCUUUGUCUACUUGACCAUCGUUGCUUCGGCGAGCCCGUCCUCACGGACCGCCGGGGGGUUCACUGAAACCUCUAGCCCGCGCUCGUCGACAGCCCCCAAUUCCAAAAUCUUAACUAAACGUGUCUUCAAUCUAAGUACUAUUGUUGAAUAAAAAACCAAAACUUUCAACAACGGAUCUCUUGGUUCUG